GUGCCAGCCGCCGCGGUAAUACGGAGGGUUCAAGCGUUGUCCAGAAUCACUGGGUGUAAAGGGUGUGUAGGCGGGCCUGCAAGUCAGAGGUGAAAGCCCCCGGCCUAACCGGGGAACUGCCUUUGAGACUGCAGGUCUUGAGUCCUGGAGGGGUCACUAGAAUUCGUGGUGUAGCGGUGAAAUGCGUAGAUAUCACGAGGAAUACCAGAGGCGAAGGCGGGUGACUGGACAGGUACUGACGCUGAGGCACGAAAGCGUGGGGAGCAAACAGGAUUAGAUACCCCUGUAGUCC
RNAcentral lists this ribosomal RNA (292 nucleotides) under uncultured bacterium. RNAcentral's name for it is "partial 16S ribosomal RNA". It matches the Rfam family "Bacterial small subunit ribosomal RNA", at positions 505 to 796 of the family's 1533-position model. The record is from RNAcentral.